GAUGAAGAACGCAGCGAAAUGCGAUAAGUAAUGUGAAUUGCAGAAUUCAGUGAAUCAUCGAAUCUUUGAACGCACAUUGCGCCCCCUGGUAUUCCGGGGGGCAUGCCUGUCCGAGCGUCAUUACAACCCUCAAGCUCAGCUUGGUGUUGGGCCCCGCCGCCCCGGCGGGCCCUAAAGUCAGUGGCGGUGCCGUCCGGCUCCGAGCGUAGUAAUUCUUCUCGCUCUGGAGGUCCGGUCGUGUGCUCGCCAGCAACCCCCAAUUUUCUUCAGGUUGACCUCGGAUCAGGUAGGGAUACCCGCUGAACUUAAGCAUAUCAAUAAGCGGAGGA
RNAcentral lists this unclassified non-coding RNA (329 nucleotides) under soil metagenome. Its description in RNAcentral is "partial contains 5.8S ribosomal RNA, internal transcribed spacer 2, and large subunit ribosomal RNA". The stretch from base 1 to 120 matches the Rfam family "5.8S ribosomal RNA", at positions 35 to 154 of the family's 154-position model. The record is from RNAcentral.